CUACGUGCCAGCAGCCGCGGUAAUACGUAGGGCGCGAGCGUUGUCCGGAAUUAUUGGGCAUAAAGGGCAUCUAGGCGGUCAGAUAAGUCUGGGGUGAAAACUUGCGGCUCAACCGCAAGCCUGCCCUGGAAACUAUGUGGCUAGAGUACUGGAGAGGUGGACGGAACUGCACGAGUAGAGGUGAAAUUCGUAGAUAUGUGCAGGAAUGCCGAUGAUGAAGAUAGUUCACUGGACGGUAACUGACGCUGAAGUGCGAAAGCUAGGGGAGCAAACAGGAUUAGAUACCCUGGUAGUCCUAGCUGUAAACGAUGAUUACUGGGUGUGGGCAUGAAGAGUGUCCGUGCCGAAGCUAAUGCGAUAAGUAAUCCGCCUGGGGAGUACGGCCGCAAGGCUGAAACUCAAAGGAAUUGACGGGGACCCGCACAAGCGGUGGAGCAUGUGGUUUAAUUCGACGCAACGCGAGGAACCUUACCAGAUCUUGACAUCCUG
RNAcentral lists this ribosomal RNA (489 nucleotides) under uncultured bacterium. RNAcentral's name for it is "bacterial SSU rRNA". It matches the Rfam family "Bacterial small subunit ribosomal RNA", at positions 501 to 991 of the family's 1533-position model. The record is from RNAcentral.